ACGAACGCUGGCGGCGCGCUAACACAUGCAAGUCGAACGAGCGAGAGAGAGUUUACUUUUUCGAGCGAGUGGCGAACGGGUGAGUAACGCGUGAGGAACCUGCCUCAAAGAGGGGGACAACAGUUGGAAACGACUGCUAAUACCGCAUAAGCCCACGGCUCGGCAUCGAGCAGAGGGAAAAGGAGCAAUCCGCUUUGAGAUGGCCUCGCGUCCGAUUAGCUAGUUGGUGAGGUAACGGCCCACCAAGGCGACGAUCGGUAGCCGGACUGAGAGGUUGAACGGCCACAUUGGGACUGAGACACGGCCCAGACUCCUACGGGAGGCAGCAGUGGGGAAUAUUGCACAAUGGGGGAAACCCUGAUGCAGCGACGCCGCGUGGAGGAAGAAGGUCUUCGGAUUGUAAACUCCUGUUGUUGAGGAAGAUAAUGACGGUACUCAACAAGGAAGUGACGGCUAACUACGUGCCAGCAGCCGCGGUAAAACGUAGGUCACAAGCGUUGUCCGGAAUUACUGGGUGUAAAGGGAGCGCAGGCGGGAAGACAAGUUGGAAGUGAAAUCCAUGGGCUCAACCCAUGAACUGCUUUCAAAACUGUUUUUCUUGAGUAGUGCAGAGGUAGGCGGAAUUCCCGGUGUAGCGGUGGAAUGCGUAGAUAUCGGGAGGAACACCAGUGGCGAAGGCGGCCUACUGGGCACCAACUGACGCUGAGGCUGAAAGUGUGGGUAG
Molecule: ribosomal RNA, 724 nt
Filed under: uncultured Lachnospiraceae bacterium
Lineage: Bacteria; Bacillati; Bacillota; Clostridia; Lachnospirales; Lachnospiraceae
Description: bacterial SSU rRNA
Rfam family: Bacterial small subunit ribosomal RNA
Source: RNAcentral